This 248-nucleotide ribosomal RNA is filed under the name uncultured bacterium. RNAcentral's name for it is "partial 16S ribosomal RNA". It matches the Rfam family "Bacterial small subunit ribosomal RNA", at positions 524 to 769 of the family's 1533-position model. The record is from RNAcentral.
UACGUAGGGUGCAAGCGUUUGUCCGGAAUUAUUGGGCGUAAAGAGCUCGUAGGCGGUUUGUCGCGUCUGCCGUGAAAGUCCGGGGCUCAACUCCGGAUCUGCGGUGGGUACGGGCAGACUAGAGUGAUGUAGGGGAGACUGGAAUUCCUGGUGUAGCGGUGAAAUGCGCAGAUAUCAGGAGGACACCGAUGGCGAAGGCAGGUCUCUGGGCAUUAACUGACGCUGAGGAGCGAAAAGCAUGGGGGAGC